Molecule: long non-coding RNA, 1081 nt
Filed under: Gallus gallus (chicken)
Lineage: Eukaryota; Metazoa; Chordata; Aves; Galliformes; Phasianidae
Source: RNAcentral
UUUUUUUUUUUUUUUUUUUUCUUUUUUUGGUCUUUUUUUUUUAUUAUUAUUGUUAUUCCCAUGCUCUUAAUUUUGGAAAAAAAAUAAUAAUAAUAAAAUCACAAAACAUAACUUAUAAAACAAUAUAUAUACCGCAUCCGUAUCCACAACAGCAUAACUGAAACAUCCAGCGUAACGUUACCACAGGUGUGAAAUACACUGGGAAAGAAGUACCGUGUGCAUUUUAUAUUACGUUCCUUUGUCAUCUACAGGUAAUAAGUACCGACAAAAAAGAAGCAACAAAUAUGCCUGCAAUUAAACUUCAUAUGCGUUUGGUAUGCGUAUUAAUAAAGAUCAUAUUUAUCAUUUCCCUUUUUUUUUUUCUUUUAUUUUUUCGCCAACAAGCACUCGGUAAAGUUAUCUACAUUUUACAUAAGAACUCCUUAAGAUAAGAACACCUUAAGAUUUCUCUUUUGGUUUUUGGUUCCUUGGUUUUCCUUCACGGUUAGAAAAGCGAGGAACGCUUUCGGCUUUGCCAUGCAACCCUUCCGGACUCCGAAGCUCACUGUUCUCAAGCAGAGAUGCAAGGAAAAAAAAAUAAGAAGAAUCCAACCCUGCGUUUAAAUAAAGACGGGUGAUAAUUUCAUUAUCAGGAUAAGACUUUGGGUGGGAAAAACGCUGGAGAAUUUUCGCAUCGCUGGAGGGUGUCUGCGCUCUCACGACCGGGGAUACUGCAGUCGUUUGGAAAGGACGAAGAGGUAGGAACCUGGAGCUGCUUAGGAUCGGGAAUGACUGGAUUAUAGCUUCCAACUAAAGAAAAAAACAUCAAGAAUCAUGCAUUUUAAAAACAGUUUAUUCAACGGCCAAGGACAAUGAUCCGGCACAAUGUAACGGCAGAUAUAAAUAUAACCUUAUAUAAGUGGUUGACCCUUGUCAUUAUUAUUUUUAAUAGCUUCAUACCUAAUAUUUUAACCAUUUCCCCCCGCAGAACCGACUCUGCGAAUUAUAUUUUUUUUCUCCCCUCCCUUUUUCUUUCAUUUUUUUAAAAUUUAUUUUCUAAAUCUUUUUUUUUUAAUUCUUUUUUUCUUUUUUUUUUUCCUUC